RNAcentral lists this ribosomal RNA (764 nucleotides) under uncultured fungus. Its description in RNAcentral is "eukaryotic LSU rRNA". It matches the Rfam family "Eukaryotic large subunit ribosomal RNA", at positions 67 to 821 of the family's 3401-position model. The record is from RNAcentral. Lineage: Eukaryota; Fungi.
UACAAGAUCCCCUAGUAACUGCGAGUGAAGCGGGAAAAGCUCAAAUUAAAAUCUGGCGUGCCUCUGGUCGUCCGAGUGUAGUUUAGAGAAGCGUUUCUGUGUUGGACCGUGUAUAAGUCUCUUGGAACAGGGCGUCAUAGAGGGUGAGAAUCCCGUCUUUGACACGGACUACCAAUGCUUUGUGAUACGCUCUCAAAGAGUCGAGUUGUUUGGGAAUGCAGCUCAAAAUGGGUGGUAAAUUCCAUCUAAAGCUAAAUAUAGGCGAGAGACCGAUAGCGAACAAGUACCGUGAGGGAAAGGUGAAAAGCACUUUGGAAAGAGAGUUAAACAGUACGUGAAAUUGCUGAAAGGGAGACGCUUGAAGUCAGUCACGUCUGCCAGGACUCAGCCUUGCUUCUGCUUGGUGUACUUUCUGGUUGGAUGGGCCAACAUCGAUUUCGACCGUUGGAGAAAGGCUUUGGGAAUGUGGCACCUUUGGGUGUGUUAUAGCCCUUUGUUGUAUACAAUGGUUGGGAUCGAGGACUGCAGCAUGCCUUCAUGGCCGGGGUUCGCCCACGUACAUGCUUAGGAUGUUGGCAUAAUGGCUUUAAGCGACCCGUCUUGAAACACGGACCAAGGAGUCUAACAUGCCUGCGAGUGUUUGGGUGGAAAACCCAUGCGCGUAAUGAAAGUGAUAGCUGAGAUCCUCUCAUCAGGAGCAUCAGCGCCUGGACUUGAUCUACGGAGACGGUUCUACGGUAGAGCAUGUAUGUUGGGACCCGAAA